Molecule: transfer RNA, 74 nt
Filed under: Felis catus (domestic cat)
Lineage: Eukaryota; Metazoa; Chordata; Mammalia; Carnivora; Felidae
Rfam family: tRNA
About the family: Transfer RNA (tRNA) molecules are approximately 80 nucleotides in length. Their secondary structure includes four short double-helical elements and three loops (D, anti-codon, and T loops). Further hydrogen bonds mediate the characteristic L-shaped molecular structure. tRNAs have two regions of fundamental functional importance: the anti-codon, which is responsible for specific mRNA codon recognition, and the 3' end, to which the tRNAs corresponding amino acid is attached (by aminoacyl-tRNA synthetases). tRNAs cope with the degeneracy of the genetic code in two manners: having more than one tRNA (with a specific anti-codon) for a particular amino acid; and 'wobble' base-pairing, i.e. permitting non-standard base-pairing at the 3rd anti-codon position.
Source: Rfam by way of RNAcentral
ACCUGGCUGGCUCAGUCGGUUAGAGUAUGCAACUCUUGAUCUCAGGGCUGUGAGUUCAAACCCCAUGUUGGGUG